RNAcentral lists this ribosomal RNA (496 nucleotides) under Bacillus amyloliquefaciens. Its description in RNAcentral is "bacterial SSU rRNA". It matches the Rfam family "Bacterial small subunit ribosomal RNA", at positions 395 to 881 of the family's 1533-position model. Lineage: Bacteria; Bacillati; Bacillota; Bacilli; Caryophanales; Bacillaceae. The record is from RNAcentral.
CGCCGCGUGAGUGAUGAAGGUUUUCGGAUCGUAAAGCUCUGUUGUUAGGGAAGAACAAGUGCCGUUCAAAUAGGGCGGCACCUUGACGGUACCUAACCAGAAAGCCACGGCUAACUACGUGCCAGCAGCCGCGGUAAUACGUAGGUGGCAAGCGUUGUCCGGAAUUAUUGGGCGUAAAGGGCUCGCAGGCGGUUUCUUAAGUCUGAUGUGAAAGCCCCCGGCUCAACCGGGGAGGGUCAUUGGAAACUGGGGAACUUGAGUGCAGAAGAGGAGAGUGGAAUUCCACGUGUAGCGGUGAAAUGCGUAGAGAUGUGGAGGAACACCAGUGGCGAAGGCGACUCUCUGGUCUGUAACUGACGCUGAGGAGCGAAAGCGUGGGGAGCGAACAGGAUUAGAUACCCUGGUAGUCCACGCCGUAAACGAUGAGUGCUAAGUGUUAGGGGGUUUCCGCCCCUUAGUGCUGCAGCUAACGCAUUAAGCACUCCGCCUGGGGAGA